ACCCGCUGAAUUUAAGCAUAUCACUAAGCGGAGGAAAAGAAACUAACCAGGAUUCCCCUAGUAACGGCGAGUGAAGAGGGAGUAGUCCAGCACCGAAGCCUGCGGCUGCUUGGCUGUUAGGCAAUGUGGUGUUUGGGCCGACUGGCGGGAUUGCCACUCCACUCGAAGUCCAGCAUUGAGUAUGGUCACUGGAAUUGGCCCAGAGAGGGUGAAAGGCCCGUACGGGUGGAGGUUCAGACAUGUAAGGCAGUUCACUAGGUCGGCCUAAGAGUCGGGUUGUUUGAGAAUGCAGCCCAAAGAGGGUGGUAAACUCCAUCCAAGGCUAAAUACUGACACGAGUCCGAUAGCGAACAAGUACCGUGAGGGAAAGUUGAAAAGUACUCUGAAGAGAGAGUAAACAGUACGUGAAGCCGCAUGCAGGUAAACGGGUGGCGUCAAGCUGCAGGCUCGGAGAAAUCAGCUGAUUGGGUUGUGCGCCUGUCUUGGCCAAUCGAGUAGUCCACGUGUAGGACGUGGGUCUGGCCGCGUGUCAGAUGUGUGUACCGGGUGGUUGCCGGAGCAGGCUACUCGUAUAUAUGGCUGCCUAAUCAGUGCACUUUCUCUGUGGCUAGUACCACGACCGGUGGAAUUGCCAGUCUGCUGUGGUCGAGUCGUGUCUGGAUGGUCUUAUGGCCAACUGGGUGCGAUGACGGGCAAACUCAGUAAACGGCGCGGGGGUGCUUCGGUAUCGCUGCGUGCUAUCGGCUACUGGUUGUCAACGGAUCUGCCUGGUGGUUGUUGUAGCCGCUGCUGGGUGAUUCGGUGGACCAUGGUGGUAUGAAAAACUGUGCAAGGCACCGGGGACUUCGGCUUCAAAUGCAGUCUGCAGACACGUUACAAGUGGAGAGGCACACUAGCGGCUGCCAGCUUAUUGCAAGGUCGGACUGUCGUGUCGCUCGCAAAAAGUGGGCCCGAUGGUGGUUUGGUGUGAGCUGGUAGUGUAGGGUGUGCUCUGUGUGGAUUGCGGUAGGCCAAACAGUCAGUGGUGUAGUGGUAGACCAGCCACCCGACCCGUCUUGAAACACGGACCAAGGAGUUUAACAUGUAUGCGAGUCAAAGGGUCUUACGAAACCCCGCGGCGCAGCGAAAGUGAAGCUUCGUAUAUUUCUCGGAGUAUGGUGAGAUCCUGCCGUUAGUCUCGCACAAGCCUAUGCUGGCAUCAGGCAAAGAGCGGUGGGCGCAUCACCGGCCCGUCUCAUGAUGUAGCCAUUGGAUUUCUGCGGCUGCUUUGGCCGUGGAGCCGAUGCGUCAUCGGGGCGGAGCAUGAGCAUACAUGUUAUGACCCGAAAGAUGGUGAACUAUGCUUGCGUAGGUUGAAGCCAGAGGAAACUCUGGUGGAGGACCGCAGCGAUUCUGACGUGCAAAUCGAUCGUCAAACGUGAGUAUAGGGGCGAAAGACUAAUCGAACCAUCUAGUAGCUGGUUCCCUCCGAAGUUUCCCUCAGGAUAGC
RNAcentral lists this ribosomal RNA (1489 nucleotides) under Yorkeria izardi. RNAcentral's name for it is "eukaryotic LSU rRNA". It matches the Rfam family "Eukaryotic large subunit ribosomal RNA", at positions 23 to 982 of the family's 3401-position model. Lineage: Eukaryota; Metazoa; Platyhelminthes; Cestoda; Tetraphyllidea; Onchobothriidae. The record is from RNAcentral.